UACGUAGGGGGCAAGCGUUAUCCGGAAUUACUGGGUGUAAAGGGUGCGUAGGUGGUAUGGCAAGUCAGAAGUGAAAACCCAGGGCUUAACUCUGGGACUGCUUUUGAAACUGUCAGACUGGAGUGCAGGAGAGGCAAGCGGAAUUCCUAGUGUAGCGGUGAAAUGCGUAGAUAUUAGGAGGAACAUCAGUGGCGAAGGCGGCUUACUGGACUGAAACUGACACUGAGGCACGAAAGCGUGGGGAGCAAACAGG
RNAcentral lists this ribosomal RNA (253 nucleotides) under Anaerostipes hadrus ATCC 29173 = JCM 17467. RNAcentral describes it as "Anaerostipes hadrus DSM 3319 partial 16S ribosomal RNA". It matches the Rfam family "Bacterial small subunit ribosomal RNA", at positions 524 to 776 of the family's 1533-position model. The record is from RNAcentral. Lineage: Bacteria; Bacillati; Bacillota; Clostridia; Lachnospirales; Lachnospiraceae.